Molecule: ribosomal RNA, 443 nt
Filed under: uncultured bacterium
Lineage: Bacteria
Description: partial 16S ribosomal RNA
Rfam family: Bacterial small subunit ribosomal RNA
Source: RNAcentral
CCUACGGGUGGCAGCAGUGGGGGAUAUUGGACAAUGGGGGGAACCCUGAUCCAGCGACGCCGCGUGAGUGAAGAAGUAUUUCGGUAUGUAAAGCUCUUUCAGCAGGGAAGAAAGCAAUGACGGUACCUGACCAAGAAGCCCCGGCUAACUACGUGCCAGCAGCCGCGGUAAUCCGUAGGGGGCAAGCGUUAUCCGGAAUUACUGGGUGUAAAGGGAGCGUAGACGGUGAAGUAAGUCUGGAGUGAAAGGCCGGGGGCUAACCCAGGGACUGCUCUGGAAACUAUUGAACUUGAGUGCAGGAGAGGUAAGCGGAAUUCCUAGUGUAGCGGUGAAAUGCGUAGAGAUUAGGAGGAACACCAGUGGCGAAGGCGGCUUAUUGGAAUGUAACUGACGUUGAUGCUCGAAAGCGUGGGGAGCAAACAGGAUUAGAUACCCUUGUAGUC